This is a long non-coding RNA of Astyanax mexicanus (Mexican tetra), 1219 nucleotides long. RefSeq lists it as uncharacterized. The transcript is spliced from 3 exons. The record is from RefSeq and is a predicted model, not a curated record. NCBI's taxonomy places the organism in Eukaryota, Metazoa, Chordata, Actinopteri, Characiformes, Acestrorhamphidae.
GCUGGUAAACGCUGUAGGUAUAGUAAUAAUUAAUGUAAUAAUAAUAAUAGUAAUAAUUAAUGUAAGUGUGAGUGUCACAGACUUAUUGUAAGUGAUGUAAUUGUGUCACUUAAGGUGGAAUUGAGUAAUUAACCACGCUGUUACAGAUUAAUUAUCACUCAGCUCAGGGGGGUAAUGUAGUGAACUUAGUUUAUUCUACUUUUUGAUGGAGUAACUGUCUUUACAGUCUGGGAAAGUCUUUCUAGUAUAUUUUAGUGAGUGAUGAACUCUGAAGCUACAUGAAGUUUGGAGGUGUGUAGUGAUGAACUCUGAAGCUACAUGAAGUUUAGAGGUGUGUAGUGAUGAACUCUGAAGCUACAUGGAGUUUGGAGGUGUGUAGUGAUGAACUCUGAAGCUACAUGGAGUUUGGAGGUGUGUAGUGAUGAACUCUGAAGCUACAUGAAGUUUAGAGGUGUGUAGUGAUGAACUCUGAAGCUACAUGGAGUUUGGAGGUGUGUAGUGAUGAACUCUGAAGCUACAUGGAGUUUGGAGGUGUGUAGUGAUGAACUCUGAAGCUACAUGAAGUUUGGAGGUGUGUAGUGAGUGAUGAACUCUGAAGCUACAUGGAGUUUGGAGGUGUGUAGUGAUGAACUCUGAAGCUACAUGGAGUUUGGAGGUGUGUAGUGAUGAACUCUGAAGCUACAUGGAGUUUGGAGGUGUGUAGUGAUGAACUCUGAAGCUACAUGAAGUUUGGAGGUGUGUAGUGAUGAACUCUGAAGCUACAUGAAGUUUGGAGGUGUGUAGUGAUGAACUCUGAAGCUACAUGGAGUUUGGAGGUGUGUAGUGAUGAACUCUGAAGCUACAUGAAGUUUGGAGGUGUGUAGUGAUGACCUCUGAAGCUACAUGGAGUUUGGAGGUGUGUAGUGAGUGAUGAACUCUGAAGCUACAUGAAGUUUGGAGGUGUGUAGUGAUGAACUCUGAAGCUACAUGAAGUUUGGAGGUGUGUAGUGAUGAACUCUGAAGCUACAUGAAGUUUGGAGGUGUGUAGUGAUGACCUCUGAAGCUACAUGGAGUUUGGAGGUGUGUAGUGAGUGAUGAACUCUGAAGCUACAUGAAGUAAGCGCCGCCAUCACUGUACUGAUAAUGACAUAGACAUAUAUACACAUAGAAUCCGCAUAGCCUUCUCCUGGUGCCGCCUGCUAACGUUAUGCUAUGUGGGGUCUAUAUAUGUAUAUGUCUA